CGCGGCCUAUCAGCUUGUUGGUGAGGUAAUGGCUUACCAAGGCGUCGACGGGUAGCCGGCCUGAGAGGGCGACCGGCCACAUUGGGACUGAGAUACGGCCCAGACUCCUACGGGAGGCAGCAGUGGGGAAUAUUGCACAAUGGGCGGAAGCCUGAUGCAGCAACGCCGCGUGCGGGAUGACGGCCUUCGGGUUGUAAACCGCUUUCAGUAGGGACGAAGCGCAAGUGACGGUACCUACAGAAGAAGCACCGGCUAACUACGUGCCAGCAGCCGCGGUGAUACGUAGGGUGCGAGCGUUGUCCGGAAUUAUUGGGCGUAAAGAGCUUGUAGGCGGUUGGUUGCGUCGUAAGUGAAAACUCAGGGCUUAACCCUGGGCUUGCUUGCGAUACGGGCUGACUUGAGGAAGGUAGGGGAGAAUGGAAUUCCCGGUGGAGCGGUGGAAUGCGCAGAUAUCGGGAGGAACACCAGUGGCGAAGGCGGUUCUCUGGACCUUUCCUGACGCUGAGAAGCGAAAGCGUGGGGAGCAAACAGGCUUAGAUACCCUGGUAGUCCACGCCGUAAACGGUGGGUACUAGGUGUGGGUCACAUUCCACGUGAUCUGUGCCGUAGCUAACGCAUUAAGUACCCCGCCUGGGGAGUACGG
This 643-nucleotide ribosomal RNA is filed under the name uncultured bacterium. Its description in RNAcentral is "bacterial SSU rRNA". It matches the Rfam family "Bacterial small subunit ribosomal RNA", at positions 232 to 885 of the family's 1533-position model. The record is from RNAcentral.